GUGCUUGCUUCGGCAGCACAUACACUAAAAUUGGAAUGAUUCAGAGAGGAUGAGGAUGGCCCCUGUGCAAGGAUGACACAAAUUCAUGAAGGUUCCAUAUUUUU
Hippopotamus amphibius kiboko is the source of this 104-nucleotide small nuclear RNA. The record is from RefSeq and is a predicted model, not a curated record. NCBI's taxonomy places the organism in Eukaryota, Metazoa, Chordata, Mammalia, Artiodactyla, Hippopotamidae.